UGGGGAAUUUUGGACAAUGGGGGAAACCCCGUUCCAGCCAUCCCGCGUGUGCGAUGAAGGCCUUCGGGUUGUAAAGCACUUUUUGCAGGAAAGAAACGUCAUGGGUUAAUACCCCGUGAAACUGACGGUACCUGCAGAAUAAGCACCGGCUAACUACGUGCCAGCAGCCGCGGUAAUACGUAGGGUGCAAGCGUUAAUCGGAAUUACUGGGCGUAAAGCGUGCGCAGGCGGUUCGGAAAGAAAGAUGUGAAAUCCCAGAGCUCAACUUUGGAACUGCAUUUUUAACUACCGGGCUAGAGUGUGUCAGAGGGAGGUGGAAUUCCGCGUGUAGCAGUGAAAUGCGUAGAUAUGCGGAGGAACACCGAUGGCGAAGGCAGCCUCCUGGGAUAACACAGACGCUCAUGCGCGAAAGCGUGGGGAGCAAACAGG
RNAcentral lists this ribosomal RNA (429 nucleotides) under Acidobacteriota bacterium. RNAcentral describes it as "Acidobacteria bacterium partial 16S ribosomal RNA". It matches the Rfam family "Bacterial small subunit ribosomal RNA", at positions 355 to 776 of the family's 1533-position model. The record is from RNAcentral. Lineage: Bacteria; Pseudomonadati; Acidobacteriota.